Cyprinus carpio (common carp) is the source of this 869-nucleotide long non-coding RNA. The record is from Ensembl. Lineage: Eukaryota; Metazoa; Chordata; Actinopteri; Cypriniformes; Cyprinidae.
UAAAAUGUGGGGAAAAGAAGUAAAAAUGUUAUUCAGUUGUGUUUUUUGCUGUGAUUCCAAAAAAUGUUAAAAACAGAAAUUCCACCACAUUAAACAUGCUUUGAAGUUGAUUGAUAAAUUCAAGAACGGUUCAUUUAUUAAUGAUUCAGUACUUAUUUUUACUGUAAACAGGUGAAACUCAUAUUUGUGAAAUGUUAUAAGGCUUCGCUCGUCCCUCAUAUCUGAUAUUUGUAAGACAGCCAGCCCUGUGAAAACAUAUGUGAGUGUUUCUCUGAUAGCCUCUAACUGUGCCUACACGCACUGUUGACAAAAGCUGUUUACGGCAAUCUGGAUCGUAGCGAAAAAAUUCCACGUUGCCCUGCCAGAGUUAUUUGUGGUCUGGACAGCGUGAGCAUGUCCCUGAUGCUUGUGUUGUUUUUAAUGAGAUGAUGAUCCACUGCCUGCCAAAGCACUGCAUCUGUGAUUCAAACAACACUAAGGCUGCGAGCUCGGAGGAAGUGCUGGUCUUCCCAUAAACGAAAUUAAUGAUGUGUCAGAAUCCAGGCUUACUACUGUGAAUGGUUUUUGUGGAAGUGGACCACACUACAAUCGAGGUGGCUUUUCUGUUUAACCCUAAACAGAAGCAUAAAGAGGUACUGAAGCCACUCUGAAGAGAGAUCCUCCUUCUGACCAGCAUAGAGACAUCUUUAGGUCCACAGCUAAGAAAUGAUUGCCACGUUCCUGGCCCUCUGUGCUGAACACUCCAUUAAAUUUAGGUUAAACAGUCAAACAGUGACGGGACUUAACAACAAUUAAAAGAGAAUCAUCAACGGGAGUCAUCCUAGUUCAUGCUUUUAAUAAAUAGUGUUAACAAAUAAUAUCGUUGUACA